Molecule: ribosomal RNA, 543 nt
Filed under: uncultured Bacteroidota bacterium
Lineage: Bacteria; Pseudomonadati; Bacteroidota
Description: bacterial SSU rRNA
Rfam family: Bacterial small subunit ribosomal RNA
Source: RNAcentral
AGCUUGCUCUUGAUGACGAGUGGCGCACGGGUGAGUAACGCGUAUGCAAUCUACCUAUAACUGAGGAAUAGCCCAGAGAAAUUUGGAUUAAUACCUCAUAAUAUUAUUAUUUGGCAUCAUUUAAUAAUUAAAACUCCGGUGGUUAUAGAUGAGCAUGCGUUCUAUUAGCUAGUUGGUGAGGUAAGAGCUCACCAAGGCUACGAUAGAUAGGGGGCCUGAAAGGGUGAUCCCCCACACUGGUACUGAGACACGGACCAGACUCCUACGGGAGGCAGCAGUGAGGAAUAUUGCACAAUGGAGGAAACUCUGAUGCAGCCAUGCCGCGUGCAGGAUGAAGGCCCUAUGGGUUGUAAACUGCUUUUUUACAAGAAGAAACCUUGGUACGUGUACCAACUUGACGGUAUUGUAAGAAUAAGCACCGGCUAACUCCGUGCCAGCAGCCGCGGUAAUACGGAGGGUGCAAGCGUUAUCCGGAUUUAUUAGGUUUAAAGGGUUCGCAGGCGGAAUUUUAAGUCAGUGGUGAAAGCCUACAGCUCAACUGUA